This 60-nucleotide transfer RNA is filed under the name Diaphanoeca grandis. The record is from RNAcentral. Lineage: Eukaryota; Choanoflagellata; Acanthoecida; Stephanoecidae.
CAUAGAAAUCGUCGGAAUAUUGUGACGUCUUUGGCACCGAGUCUAGCAUAGACAUGGGUG